This 496-nucleotide ribosomal RNA is filed under the name uncultured bacterium. Its description in RNAcentral is "bacterial SSU rRNA". It matches the Rfam family "Bacterial small subunit ribosomal RNA", at positions 29 to 517 of the family's 1533-position model. The record is from RNAcentral.
AUUGAACGCUGGCGGCGUGCUUAACACAUGCAAGUCGAUCGGUAACAGGUGUAGCAAUACAUGCUGACGAGAGGCGGACGGGUGAGUAAUGCUUGGGAAUCUGCCUAUUAGUGGGGGACAACCCGGGGAAACUCGGGCUAAUACCGCAUACGCUCUACGGAGGAAAGCCGGGGACCGCAAGGCCUGGCGCUAAUAGAUGAGCCCAAGUCGGAUUAGCUAGUUGGUAGGGUAACGGCCUACCAAGGCGACAAUCCGUAGCUGGUCUGAGAGGACGACCAGCCACACCGGAACUGAGACACGGUCCGGACUCCUACGGGAGGCAGCAGUGGGGAAUAUUGGACAAUGGGGGCAACCCUGAUCCAGCGACGCCGCGUGGGUGAAGAAGGCCUGCGGGUUGUAAAGCCCUUUCGGUGGGGAAGAAAAGUCUCGACCUAAUACGUCGGGACCUUGACGUAACCCACUAAAGAAGCACCGGCUAACUCUGUGCCAGCAGCCG